RNAcentral lists this ribosomal RNA (380 nucleotides) under uncultured eukaryote. RNAcentral describes it as "partial 18S ribosomal RNA". It matches the Rfam family "Eukaryotic small subunit ribosomal RNA", at positions 592 to 976 of the family's 1831-position model. The record is from RNAcentral.
CAAUAGCGUAUAUUAAAGUUGUUGCAGUUAAAAAGCUCGUAGUUGGAUUUGUGGCGUACGGUGUGUUCCGGGCUCUUGUUGUCUGAGUAACCUGCUGUUGCCAUCCUUGGGUGGAACCUGUGUGGCAUUAGGUUGUCGUGCAGGGGAUGCCCAUCAUUUACUGUGAAAAAAUUAGAGUGUUCAAAGCAGGCUUAUGCCGUUGAAUAUAUUAGCAUGGAAUAAUGAGAUAGGACUUUUUUGCUAUUUUGUUGGUUUGCGCAAAGAGGUAAUGAUUAAUAGGGACAGUUGGGGGUAUUCGUAUUCCAUUGUCAGAGGUGAAAUUCUUGGAUUUUUGGAAGACGAACUACUGCGAAAGCAUUUACCAAGGAUGUUUUCAUUAA